RNAcentral lists this long non-coding RNA (1559 nucleotides) under Helianthus annuus (common sunflower). RNAcentral's name for it is "hypothetical non coding rna". The record is from RNAcentral. Lineage: Eukaryota; Viridiplantae; Streptophyta; Magnoliopsida; Asterales; Asteraceae.
UCACCUUCGGUUUCCUUAUUCAACAAUGCUUGAACACUUUCUCUCCAUUGAAGAAUGGUGAUCUUUUGAUUUAUUUCAACUCAAUUACAUCGGUUGUUGAAACACUAAGGUAAAGUUAAUCUAUAUAUAUAUAUAAAUGAAAUGGAUUUGGGCUAUGUGGCCUUCGUAUUUGGCCAUCUAGGCUGAUGUGGCAAUUUGGUUUAGGAGGGAAAUCCAUUUUGCUUUCUACAAUCAUGAUUCCAAGAAAAAAGAGGCGGGAUCCGAAUUGAGUUGGGUUGGGUUUUUUGAAUUCGGGUCAUAGUAUAUAUUUCCUUUUUUUUUCUCAUUCUUCUUGCACACACUUUACAAACCCUAAAAAACUAAGUUGCAUCCUCUCUCCUAUCACCACCACCAAGAUCCUCAAUUCUAAACCAUAGCCAAACCUCUACAACAUCAUCUUCUUCACACAAAUCAAUCCUAUUAACCAAUCAAAGGUAUGUUUCUAUGUUUUUGAUUUUAUUGUUUCUGAUUUCUUUGUUUUACGAUUGUAAUCUACACAAUCGAUCCUAAAUCUGCUUUAUUUAUGUUAUUCAAUUCUAUAGAAACUUGAUUUUAUAAAGAUUGUGUCGAAUGCUAUUAACUUCUUCUUUGUCCUAAACUUUGUAGAUCUGAUCAUAAAAAUUGAAGGUAUGUUGUUUUAAUUUGUUGUUUAUCUAUUGUGUAUCUUUAAUCAAGCGAUUGAACAUUUAUCUUUUUGUUUUUUUGCAAACAAAAUCAAGAUCAGAGGUUUUAUUAUCAUCAUCUACAUUUAUCAAAGUUACUGAUUUUUGUUGAUUUUGUUUUUCAUGUGGAACCCUAAAUCUUGGAUAAAAUCGGACUCCGAUCAUUCGUGAAACAACAGAGUUAUGGAUCAUGAAAACAACGCUCCUUCGUUGUUAAAGUUGAUUGAGGACUAUGAUCCUAUAUUUUUCGAAUUGUUCGUCGACCAAAAACAGGUUUGAUUUUAUCCUUUCUGUUCGGUAUUUUUUUUCAAAAAUUAAUAACAUAUGUUCUGAAUGUUUUAUGGUUUGUUUUUCUCAUGGUAAACCCUCAAUCUUUUGUGACAAUUGGACUCGAAUUGUUCGUCGACCAAAAACAGACCCUAAAUCUUGGAUAAAAUCGGACUCCGAUCAUUCGUGAAACAACAGAGUUAUGGAUCAUGAAAACAACGCUCCUUCGUUGUUAAAGUUGAUUGAGGACUAUGAUCCUAUAUUUUUCGAAUUGUUCGUCGACCAAAUACAGUUAUGGAUCAUGAAAACAACGCUCCUUCGUUAUUAAUGUUGAUUGGGGACUAUGAUUCUAUAUUUUUGGAAAUACCGUAUGAUUUUGCAACCUUAUUGUGGGGAGAACAACUUCCAUAUGUUAAUGUCUUAAAAUUAUUGAUGAUGAUUUAUCGUGACUCAUUUAGUUAUAAUUUUUGUAUUUAGUUAGUUGUUAAUUCUUUAAAGAUGCAUUUAAUUUCAUUUUUAAAGCUGUUUUUGUUUCUAUAAACAGAUUACUGUUGUUAAAGAUGAUUUUUAUAUUCGGAAUUAUGAUUCGGU